AACGAACGCUGGCGGCAUGCCUAACACAUGCAAGUCGAACGAGAAGUCCGGGACCUGUGGCGCACGGCUGCGUAAGGCGUGGGAACCUGCCCUCAGGUUUGGAAUAACUCCCCGAAAGGGGUGCCAAUACCGGACAAUGUCUUCGGACCAAAGAUUUAUCGCCUUUGGAUGGUCCCGCGUUGGAUUAGGUAGUUGGUACGGUAAAAGCCUACCAAGGCGCCGAUCAAUAGCUGGUUUUGGAGGAAGAUUAGCAACACCGAGGCUGAGACACGGCCCAGACUCCUACGGAAGGGAGCAGAGGGUAAUAUUGGAAAAUGGGCGAAAGCCUGAUCCAGCAAUGCCGCGUGAGUUAUGAAGUCCUGAGAGUUGUAAAGCUCUAUUACCCGGGAUGAUAAUGACAGUACCGGGAGAAUAAGCUCCGGCUAACUCCGUG
This 433-nucleotide ribosomal RNA is filed under the name uncultured bacterium. RNAcentral's name for it is "partial 16S ribosomal RNA". It matches the Rfam family "Bacterial small subunit ribosomal RNA", at positions 29 to 507 of the family's 1533-position model. The record is from RNAcentral.